Molecule: ribosomal RNA, 492 nt
Filed under: uncultured bacterium
Lineage: Bacteria
Description: partial 16S ribosomal RNA
Rfam family: Bacterial small subunit ribosomal RNA
Source: RNAcentral
AGUGAACGCUGGCGGUAGGCCUAACACAUGCAAGUCGAACGGCAGCACAGUAAGAGCUUGCUCUUACGGGUGGCGAGUGGCGGACGGGUGAGGAAUACAUCGGAAUCUACUUUUUCGUGGGGGAUAACGUAGGUAAACUUACGCUAAUACCGCAUACGACCUACGGGUGAAAGCAGUGGAUCUUCGGACCUUUCGCGAUUGAAUGAGCCGAUGUCGGAUUAGCUAGUUGGCGGGGUAAAGGCCCACCAAGGCGACGAUCCGUAGCUGGUCUGAGAGGAUGGUCGGCCACACUGGAAAUUAGACACGGUCCAGACUACUACGGGAGGCAGCAGUGGGGAAUGUUGGACAAUGGGGGGAAGCCUGAUCCAGCCAUCCCGCGUGGGUGAAGAAGGCCUUCGGGUUGUAAAGCCCUUUUGUUGGGAAAGAAAAGCAGCCGGUUAAUACCCAGCUGUACUGACGGUACCCAAAGAAUAAGCACCGGCUAACUUCGUG